CGGGCAUCUUCUCCGUGGAUGAUCUUGCCGAUGUCGGCACCGAUGAUGGAACGCCCGUGACGGAAUACAAGUCGCGUAAAUUCAUCGGCACGCUCAACAAGGUCACGAUCACGACGAGCAAGUAAAUACCUCCCUUUGACUCACACAUGAACGGCUGUAACCUGAAAUGGUUACAGCCGUUUUCGCCGGAGCAAUCAAGAAAUCUUUCCGCCUGAGAAGAAGUGAACAGGAGAACCAUAGAAAAUGAAAACCACAC
Molecule: unclassified non-coding RNA, 256 nt
Filed under: uncultured fungus
Lineage: Eukaryota; Fungi
Description: sequence contains ITS1
Source: RNAcentral